Oryctolagus cuniculus (rabbit) is the source of this 477-nucleotide non-coding RNA. NCBI's taxonomy places the organism in Eukaryota, Metazoa, Chordata, Mammalia, Lagomorpha, Leporidae. The record is from RefSeq and is a predicted model, not a curated record.
CACCUCACCUGGGAGCCUGCACCUGCACCUCCACACCUCACCUGGGAGCCUGCACCUGCACCUCCACACCUCACCUGGGAGCCUGCACCUCCACACCUCACCUGGGAGCCUGCACCUCCACACCUCACCUGGGAGCCUGUACCUCCAACCUUGGUAACAGUCACCCAGACCCAGACUGAGGUCUAGGGUAACAGUCACUCAUCCAGGCUGAGGUCUAGGGUAACAGUCACCCAGAUCCAGACCCAGGCUGAGGUCUAGGGUAACAGCCACCCAGAUCCAGACCCAGGCUGAGGUCUAGGGUAACAGUCACCCAGAUCCAGACCCAGGCUGAGGUCUAGGGUAACAGUCACCCAGAUCCAGACCCAGGCUGAGGUCUAGGGUAACAGUCACCCAGAUCCAGACCCAGGCUGAGGUCUAGGGUAACAGUCACCCAGAUCCAGACCCAGGCUGAGGUCUAGGGUAACAGUCACCCAGAUC